Molecule: small nucleolar RNA, 127 nt
Organism: Nannospalax galili (Upper Galilee mountains blind mole rat)
Lineage: Eukaryota; Metazoa; Chordata; Mammalia; Rodentia; Spalacidae
Source: Ensembl
UGUGUGUGUGUGUGUGUGUGUCCAACUAGUGGACAGAGGCAUGGGAGACAUGUGCAAAAAUAAAUCCUCUUUUGCAACCCAGAGCUCAUUUUCAAUACAAGUUUUGAUACGCACAAGAAGGACUAGG